UACGGAGGGUGCAAGCGUUGCUCGGAAUUACUGGGCGUAAAGCGUGCGCAGGCGGUUCGUUGUGUCUGAUGUGAAAGCCCCGGGCUUAACCUGGGAAUGGCAUUGGAAACUGGCGAGCUUGAGUGUGGCAGAGGGGGGUGGAAUUCCGCGUGUAGCAGUGAAAUGCGUAGAGAUGCGGAGGAACACCGAUGGCGAAGGCAGCCCCCUGGGCCAACACUGACGCUCAGGCACGAAAGCGUGGGGAGCAAACAGG
This 253-nucleotide ribosomal RNA is filed under the name uncultured bacterium. RNAcentral describes it as "partial 16S ribosomal RNA". It matches the Rfam family "Bacterial small subunit ribosomal RNA", at positions 524 to 776 of the family's 1533-position model. The record is from RNAcentral.